CCUGGGUUAGUUUAAUGGUAAAACGGGAGGCUGUAAACCUCUUGAUACUGGUUCGAUUCCAGUACUCGGGAC
Molecule: transfer RNA, 72 nt
Filed under: Tupanvirus deep ocean
Lineage: Varidnaviria; Bamfordvirae; Nucleocytoviricota; Megaviricetes; Imitervirales; Mimiviridae
Also listed under: 1 other name
Description: tRNA-Tyr
Rfam family: tRNA
About the family: Transfer RNA (tRNA) molecules are approximately 80 nucleotides in length. Their secondary structure includes four short double-helical elements and three loops (D, anti-codon, and T loops).
Source: RNAcentral